GAGUUUGAUCCUGGCUCAGAGCGAACGCUGGCGGCAGGCCUAACACAUGCAAGUCGAACGGCUCUUCGGAGCAGUGGCGGACGGGUGAGUAACACGUGGGAACGUGCCCUUUGGUUCGGAAUAACUCAGGGAAACUUGGAGCUAAGUACCGGAUGUGCCCUUCGGGGGAAAGAUUUAUCGCCAUAGGAGCGGCCCGCGUUGGAUUAGCUAGUUGGUGGGUAAAGGCCCACCAAGGCGACGAUCCAUAGGCCUGGUCUGAGAGGAUGAGUCAGCCACACUGGGACUGAGACACGGCCCAGACUCCUACGGGAGGCAGCAGUGGGGAAUCUUGCGCAAUGGGCGAAAGCCUGACGCAGCCAGUGCCGCGUGAAUGAUGAAAGGUCUUAGGAUUGUAAAAAUUC
Molecule: ribosomal RNA, 401 nt
Filed under: uncultured Alphaproteobacteria bacterium
Lineage: Bacteria; Pseudomonadati; Pseudomonadota; Alphaproteobacteria
Description: bacterial SSU rRNA
Rfam family: Bacterial small subunit ribosomal RNA
Source: RNAcentral